Molecule: ribosomal RNA, 372 nt
Filed under: uncultured Glomeromycotina
Lineage: Eukaryota; Fungi; Glomeromycota
Description: LSU rRNA
Source: RNAcentral
UUGAAAGGGAAACGAUUGAAGUCAGUCGUACCAGCGGGAAAUCAACCUUUCGAGUGGGGGUUUUGGAGUUUUGAAGAGUGUCAAAACCUUUGAGAUUUCAAAAUAUUCGCUCUUUUGGUGUACUUUCUCGUGGGUAGGUUAACAUCGAUUUUGAUCAUCAUAAAAAGAUUGGAGGAAUGUAGCUUCGAUCUUGUAUUGAAGUGUUAUAGCCUUUGGUAAAUGUGAUGAUUAGGAUCGAGGAUUGCAACGAAUACCCUUUUGGGCUAUCCGCCUGAUCUCUGAUACGUGGCCUUGGUAUCGAAAGCUUGCUUAUGGAUUAAGGUAUUACGGUCAAAAGGUUAGAACGGAUACUUCGUUAAGGAUGUUGACGUA